Molecule: ribosomal RNA, 235 nt
Filed under: uncultured bacterium
Lineage: Bacteria
Description: partial 16S ribosomal RNA
Rfam family: Bacterial small subunit ribosomal RNA
Source: RNAcentral
UACGUAGGGUGCAAGCGUUAAUCGGAAUUACUGGGCGUAAAGCGUGCGCAGGCGGUUAUGUAAGACAGUUGUGAAAUCCCCGGGCUCAACCUGGGAAUUGCAUCUGUGACUGCAUAGCUAGAGUACGGUAGAGGGGGGAUGGAAUUCCGCGUGUAGCAGUGAAAUGCGUAGAUAUGCGGAGGAACACCGAUGGCGAAGGCAAUCCCCUGGACCUGUACUGACGCUCAUGCACGAA